This 1408-nucleotide ribosomal RNA is filed under the name Symethis corallica. Its description in RNAcentral is "partial 18S ribosomal RNA". Lineage: Eukaryota; Metazoa; Arthropoda; Malacostraca; Decapoda; Symethidae. The record is from RNAcentral.
GAGGUCAUCAGUAUACGAACAGAGUUUCUAAUUCGGUACGUACACAUUCAUGUUCGGCUGAAUUCCGCUUUGGCGCUUACCGAGUAAUUUAGUCGAUACUAAGUAACCUAGACAUUUGGGUGAAUGAACCUAUUGACACCAUUAAGAUCUCGAUUAUGUACGUGGUGCAGAGACUGGCGUUCCCUUCUCGCGAAAAUAAUCAAGUUUUGGCCAGCCCGGAGCCAGGCAUUGGGGGGACACUACUGAGACUUAUUGAAACUCGACUCGCGUGCCAGAGGCGUGGCCGCGGCGUAGAAAGUUCACAGACGGAAUAGUCGAAAGCUAACAUCCAAUACGCGGAUGUUACCGAUAUUGCCCAUUGCCCCUUAGUCCCAAGCUAAGGCCUCUCCCUCGGACUCUUUGCCGAUGGUGUAGAUUCCUUCCGUCGUCCGUGCGUUUAAUGGGUGAGGGCCGUGCCCCUCCAUCACUGCUUUUUAUUGCUACGCUCUGAGUAGGCUCCGGAGCGUUAGCCUUACUCAUGUGAAAUUUAGGAAAUUGCUCCUAGAUAACCUCCCGUUCAGACCACGGUCGUCGGCGCCAUUAAGGUCGAGGUUAUCGCAUAUAAUUUCAACAACGUCAAUUUUUCGAGCAUCAACCUAAAGUCAAGACCUGACUGCCAAGUGGCGGGCCACGUGUGACAGUGCGAGGCUUGUCGGUGCUUUCGGGCGACCGAGCGUGCCCCACGAGAAGUAGCUCACAGGGCGCACCGGCCGUCUCAAAUGAAACUUUUUUAAUCUCACGAGUCUCGUCCGAUGUGANUNCCGGACUUACGGAUACGUACCUUAUUACCUUAUCCUGGAGCCAAGAUAAAACAGCCAAAAGACUUGGGCUCCAUUACUGAUUAUCCUUGUCCGCCCCCGUAAGCAUAACGCUGCGAUCUCCACUUUAAGAACCUGGCAGCGUUCUGCUUGAUGACGCUUUCGUAAACGGUUCCUACAAAAGUAAUUAGUUCUUGCUUUCAAUCUCCAAGCUUCCGCUAGUCUAUGGCGGGAUCAAGAUUGGUAUUUGCUACGACUGGUCGCUAGGCGGCCGCAAUAAGGGUACUGGGCCGCCCGUCGAAGGCCCUUUGGUUUCAGAAACCCAAGGCCCCCUUCAUACCAACGUUUCGACUUUGAAUUUCCUUAACUGCCUUCCCGUGGUGGUCCUCACCUCGGACGCCGAAUUAAACUGAGUUGUGCCCCUUGGAGUGGUCCGGGUCUGUGGCCUUCCUAACUGUCUAACUCUCGAGAAAGAGCUAAGCCACCCACCACCACGUACCGGCAAGAAUCAACCACCUCGCUAAACAGACCAAUUAAGGCUAUUGCUUGCUCUGAGACCGGAUGAUUGAUCAGCUGCCUAGAGGUCGUUAACCACAGGUCANGCGUUGAAG